UACGAAGGGGGCUAGCGUUGCUCGGAAUCACUGGGCGUAAAGGGUGCGUAGGCGGGUUUUUAAGUCAGGGGUGAAAUCCUGGAGCUCAACUCCAGAACUGCCUUUGAUACUGGGAAGCUUGAGUCCGGGAGAGGUGAGUGGAACUCCGAGUGUAGAGGUGAAAUUCGUAGAUAUUCGGAAGAACACCAGUGGCGAAGGCGGCUCACUGGCCCGGUACUGACGCUGAGGUGCGAAAGCGUGGGGAGCAAACAGG
This 253-nucleotide ribosomal RNA is filed under the name uncultured bacterium. Its description in RNAcentral is "partial 16S ribosomal RNA". It matches the Rfam family "Bacterial small subunit ribosomal RNA", at positions 524 to 776 of the family's 1533-position model. The record is from RNAcentral.